Molecule: ribosomal RNA, 397 nt
Filed under: uncultured bacterium
Lineage: Bacteria
Description: partial 16S ribosomal RNA
Rfam family: Bacterial small subunit ribosomal RNA
Source: RNAcentral
AUACGUAGGUGACAAGCGUUAUCCGGAUUUACUGGGCGUAAAGGGCGUGUAGGCGGUCUUGCAAGUCAGAAGUGAAAUUCCUGAGCUCAACUCGGGCGCUGCUUCUGAAACUGCAGGACUUGAGUGCUGGAGGGGAUAGCGGAAUUCCUAGUGGAGCGGUAAAAUGCGCAGAUAUUAGGAAGAACACCGGUGGCGAAGGCGGCUAUCUGGACAGUAACUGACGCUGAGGCGCGAAAGCGUGGGGAGCAAACAGGAUUAGAGACCCUGGGAGUCCACGCCGUAAACGAUGAAUACUAGGUGUAGGGGGUAUCGACUCCCUCUGUGCCGCAGUUAACACAAUAAGUAUUCCGCCUGGGGAGUACGGCCGCAAGGUUGAAACUCAAAUGAAUUGACGGGG